Oryctolagus cuniculus (rabbit) is the source of this 1220-nucleotide long non-coding RNA. RefSeq lists it as uncharacterized. NCBI's taxonomy places the organism in Eukaryota, Metazoa, Chordata, Mammalia, Lagomorpha, Leporidae. The record is from RefSeq and is a predicted model, not a curated record.
CGAGCCGCGCCCAGGGGAGGCCCCGCCCCGAGGCGGGGCCAUCCUACCGCGCAGGCGCACUCCACAGGCUACGCCUUCUGCGGGGUAGAGCCGAGUUGCGUCGUCAGCCCGUGUGAGGAACCGGCUCCCGUGCCCACAGCCGGCCGGGGCGGGAGUCGGACGCCGGGAACGGGCGCGGAGGCUGUCCUUGAGGAACCAUGCCCAAGGAUCUUCAAAUGUGGACCUGAGUUGGGUGAUGAGAUCCUGGAGAUGGAGCCAUCAUAAUGCAAUGAGACCCCGGGGUGCUGGACACGUGUAUUUUGGCUGUGGCCAGAGGGCAGAUUGUAUUUCCCAAAGGUGGACAUGAUAAUAUUUCCCAUCCCACAGGCUCUCACCCAGUGGAGUCAGGAAGUAAAGUCUAAGAGCGUAUGAUUAGCCUACCAGUGAAGAUGCCCACAUUCCACGUUAGAGUACCUGCAUUCAGUUCUUAGCUCUAGCUCCCAACUCCAGCUUUCCUGUUAAUGCAGACACUGAGAGGCAGCAGUGAUGGUUCAAGUGAUUGGGUUCCUGCCACCGGCAUGGAAGAUCAGGAUUGAGUUCCUGGCUCCCAGCUUCAGUCUGGCCUGGUCUGGCCUGGCCCAGCCUGUCUUUGGCCCUUGUGUUGUGCACUUGGGUAAUGAAGCAGUGGAUGGGAGUGUUCUUCUUUCUUUCUCAAAUUAGUACAUAAGGAAAUAAAAAAAGUGGAGUCCAAGUCCCCUUUCUUUGAUUCUGGCUGACCUUAAAACUUGCCUGUAACCAAGUGAAUGUGACAAAAGUAUCACUUCUGAGACUAGGUCAAAAAAGUUCUACAACUUCUACCAGGUUCUCUCGGUAUACCCCUCAAGUUGGCAGUCCCAACGGAGCCCAGCCUUCCAGCCAUCCUCAUCAAGGCACCAGACAUGUGACCAAGACUACAUGGGCACUCUAGACCUGUUUAAGUGCCAGCUGAAUAUUACCAAUGAACUCUGUCAACACCACUUGGAGCAAAAGUAGUCCAGUCUCAACCAUAACCUAUAGAACUCAUGGGAUCUAAUAAAAUGGUGGUGGUUUCCAGUCACUAUCUUUUGGAGUAGUUUGUUUGCAGCAACAGCAGUUGAAUAUUCUGCCACCUAAGAAAAUGUCUUGCUUGCCUGUGUGGCACAGAAGGAUGUGAAUUCAGCAAGGGAGUUCUGGCUGCUGCUUAAUAAAGUCUUUCAAUCACC